GCCCCGCGCAGCACGGGGUGUUCACGCACGUCGCCUACGACGAGGCGUGGCCGGGAUGCGGCCAGCUCCUCCAGUUCGGCCUGGAGCAGGCCUC
RNAcentral lists this transfer RNA (94 nucleotides) under Streptomyces sp. Y2F8-2. Its description in RNAcentral is "tRNA-Arg". The record is from RNAcentral. Lineage: Bacteria; Bacillati; Actinomycetota; Actinomycetes; Kitasatosporales; Streptomycetaceae.